GAAAUGCGAUAAGUAAUGUGAAUUGCAGAAUUCAGUGAGUCAUCGAAUCUUUGAACGCACAUUGCGCCCGCCAGUAUUCUGGCGGGCAUGCCUGUUCGAGCGUCAUUACAACCCUCAGGCCCCCGGGCCUGGCGUUGGGGAUCGGCGGAAGCCCCCUGCGGGCACAACGCCGUCCCCCAAAUACAGUGGCGGUCCCGCCGCAGCUUCCAUUGCGUAGUAGCUAACACCUCGCAACUGGAGAGCGGCGCGGCCACGCCGUAAAACACCCAACUUCUGAAUGUUGACCUCGAAUCAGGUAGGAAUACCCGCUGAACUUAAGC
This 320-nucleotide unclassified non-coding RNA is filed under the name plant metagenome. Its description in RNAcentral is "partial contains 5.8S ribosomal RNA, internal transcribed spacer 2, and large subunit ribosomal RNA". The stretch from base 1 to 105 matches the Rfam family "5.8S ribosomal RNA", at positions 50 to 154 of the family's 154-position model. The record is from RNAcentral.